RNAcentral lists this ribosomal RNA (459 nucleotides) under uncultured bacterium. RNAcentral describes it as "partial 16S ribosomal RNA". It matches the Rfam family "Bacterial small subunit ribosomal RNA", at positions 338 to 795 of the family's 1533-position model. The record is from RNAcentral.
CCUACGGGAGGCAGCAGUGAGGAAUAUUGGUCAAUGGGCGCGAGCCUGAACCAGCCAAGUCGCGUGAGGGAAGACGGUCCUCUGGAUUGUAAACCUCUUUUGUCGGGGAGCAAAAGACGCCACGCGUGGCGUUCCGAGAGUACCCGAAGAAAAAGCAUCGGCUAACUCCGUGCCAGCAGCCGCGGUAAUACGGAGGAUGCGAGCGUUAUCCGGAUUUAUUGGGUUUAAAGGGGGAGCAGGCGGAAGAUCAAGUCAGCGGUAAAAUUGAGAGGCUCAACCUCUUCGAGCCGUUGAAACUGGUUUUCUUGAGUGAGUGAGAAGUAUGCGGAAUGCGUGGUGUAGCGGUGAAAUGCGUAGAUAUCACGCGGAACUCCGGUUGCGAAGGCAGCAUACCGGCGCUCAACUGACGCUCAUGCACGAAAGUGUGGGUAGCGAACAGGAUUAGAUACCCUAGUAGUC